RNAcentral lists this long non-coding RNA (379 nucleotides) under Phoenix dactylifera (date palm). RNAcentral describes it as "long non-coding RNA (PDAC_LNC019156)". Lineage: Eukaryota; Viridiplantae; Streptophyta; Magnoliopsida; Arecales; Arecaceae. The record is from RNAcentral.
CAUGCGUCUCACACUGCUCAUUGGUUGCACGGGUUGGUAACACCGGGAGUUCAUGGUCAAGAACAUAAACUAUCUUUUCACAACUCAAGACAAUCUUCAAGUUGCGGAGCCAAUCUUUAUAGUUUGGUCCGGUCAACCUAUUGUUAUCUAGAAUUCGAACUAUCGGGUUGCAAGCCAUUGACAUCUGCAGAGAGUAAAGAUUCUAAUUAGAAAUUUGUAUUUGACAUUAAUUUGUUUUCUGCAACCAUCAGCCUAAUCCGCUCCCAAGCUUGAUCCGAGUUCAUCCCGAGCUUCACGGCAUCCAGCUUAUCCCCUGCAUCCAAGAGAAUCCACCCUUCAUCCCGUUGUGAUUCAUCCUCACCCGUGAACCAUAUCCUCC